GCGAGGCCCAAAUCGGGCUCGCUUAUGGGGCGCCGGAUGCAGGUGUCCGGCGGCCCUCGUCAUCACGUUGCUCCAAGGAGGAUGUGGUCAUGAGGA
RNAcentral lists this small RNA (96 nucleotides) under Methylorubrum extorquens AM1. RNAcentral's name for it is "Methylobacterium extorquens AM1 Repression of heat shock gene expression (ROSE) element". It matches the Rfam family "Repression of heat shock gene expression (ROSE) element". Rfam says of the family: This family represents a 5' UTR cis-regulatory element found in heat shock mRNAs and is known as the ROSE (repression of heat shock gene expression) element. The ROSE element is a negative regulator of heat shock gene expression. The secondary structure is thought to be regulated by temperature. Lineage: Bacteria; Pseudomonadati; Pseudomonadota; Alphaproteobacteria; Hyphomicrobiales; Methylobacteriaceae. The record is from Rfam by way of RNAcentral.